GGUGGGGGAUGGGCUCGCGGCCUAUCAGCUUGUUGGUGAGGUAAUGGCUCACCAAGGCGUCGACGGGUAGCCGGCCUGAGAGGGUGACCGGCCACACUGGGACUGAGACACGGCCCAGACUCCUACGGGAGGCAGCAGUGGGGAAUAUUGCACAAUGGGCGGAAGCCUGAUGCAGCAACGCCGCGUGAGGGAUGACGGCCUUCGGGUUGUAAACCUCUUUUAGCAGGGAAGAAGCGUGAGUGACGGUACCUGCAGAAAAAGCACCGGCUAACUACGUGCCAGCAGCCGCGGUAAUACGUAGGGUGCAAGCGUUAUCCGGAAUUAUUGGGCGUAAAGAGCUCGUAGGCGGUUUGUCGCGUCUGCUGUGAAAUCCCGAGGCUCAACCUCGGGCCUGCAGUGGGUACGGGCAGACUAGAGUGCGGUAGGGGAGAUUGGAAUUCCUGGUGUAGCGGUGGAAUGCGCAGAUAUCAGGAGGAACACCGAUGGCGAAGGCAGAUCUCUGGGCCGUAACUGACGCUGAGGAGCGAAAGGGUGGGGAGCAAACAGGCUUAGAUACCCUGGUAGUCCACCCCGUAAACGUUGGGAACUAGUUGUGGGGUCCUUUCCACGGAUUCCGUGACGCAGCUAACGC
This 631-nucleotide ribosomal RNA is filed under the name Microbacterium sp. Its description in RNAcentral is "bacterial SSU rRNA". It matches the Rfam family "Bacterial small subunit ribosomal RNA", at positions 217 to 858 of the family's 1533-position model. Lineage: Bacteria; Bacillati; Actinomycetota; Actinomycetes; Micrococcales; Microbacteriaceae. The record is from RNAcentral.